GUACUCACUUUGGCAGCACAUAUACUAAUAUUAGAACAAUACAGAGGAGAUUAGCUUGGCUGGUUGGCAAGGAUGGCGUACAAAUUUGUUGUGUUCCAUAUUCCC
Small nuclear RNA from Vulpes vulpes (red fox), 105 nucleotides. The record is from Ensembl. Lineage: Eukaryota; Metazoa; Chordata; Mammalia; Carnivora; Canidae.